UGGGGAAUAUUGGACAAUGGACCAAGAGUCUGAUCCAGCAAUUCUGUGUGCACGAUGACGUUUUUCGGAAUGUAAAGUGCUUUCAGUUGGGAAGAAAAAAAUGACGGUACCAACAGAAGAAGUGACGGCUAAAUACGUGCCAGCAGCCGCGGUAAUACGUAUGUCACAAGCGUUAUCCGGAUUUAUUGGGCGUAAAGCGCGUCUAGGUGGUUAUGUAAGUCUGAUGUGAAAAUGCAGGGCUCAACUCUGUAUUGCGUUGGAAACUGUGUAACUAGAGUACUGGAGAGGUAAGCGGAACUACAAGUGUAGAGGUGAAAUUCGUAGAUAUUUGUAGGAAUGCCGAUGGGGAAGCCAGCUUACUGGACAGAUACUGACGCUGAAGCGCGAAAGCGUGGGUAGCAAACAGGAUUAGAUACCCUGGUAGUCCACGCCGUAAACGAUGAUUACUAGGUGUUGGGGGUCGAACCUCAGCGCCCAAGCAAACGCGAUAAGUAAUCCGCCUGGGGAGUACGUACGCAGGUAUG
RNAcentral lists this ribosomal RNA (524 nucleotides) under uncultured bacterium. RNAcentral's name for it is "bacterial SSU rRNA". It matches the Rfam family "Bacterial small subunit ribosomal RNA", at positions 355 to 896 of the family's 1533-position model. The record is from RNAcentral.